AAAGCAUAGUAAAUGCUCGCUUCUUUUUAGGAGAGGAAAGUCCGAGCUGCUAAAGACAAACAUUCCAUCUAACAGAUGGCUAGGGUAACCUAAGGGAUAGUGCAACAGAAAGAAAACUACCACGCAAGUGGAAAAGGUGAAACGGCGGGGUAAAAGCCCACCAGCGAUUUUGGUAACAAUUUCGGCUAUGUAAACCCAAUGUGCAGCAAGAAGGGAUGG
This 219-nucleotide RNase P RNA is filed under the name Campylobacter jejuni. RNAcentral describes it as "partial RNase P RNA component class A". It matches the Rfam family "Bacterial RNase P class A", at positions 1 to 235 of the family's 367-position model. From Rfam's summary of the family: Ribonuclease P (RNase P) is a ubiquitous endoribonuclease, found in archaea, bacteria and eukarya as well as chloroplasts and mitochondria. Its best characterised activity is the generation of mature 5'-ends of tRNAs by cleaving the 5'-leader elements of precursor-tRNAs. The record is from RNAcentral. Lineage: Bacteria; Pseudomonadati; Campylobacterota; Epsilonproteobacteria; Campylobacterales; Campylobacteraceae.